GGCUGAUCUGAAGAGUCCCAUUGGAUUGGGACGCUGGUAAAGAGUCCCACUGGACUGAGACUCUAUCAUUAAUAUAAGAUUAAUUAGUAAUUAAAUUAUUAAUUAACUCAAUUUGGUUGAGCAUUAAAGUCUGGGUCAAGUUUGAUUGAAUUGGAUUCAAUCAGGUCAGGUCUGAUUAGGUUAUAAGAUGACCUAAUAG
This 199-nucleotide long non-coding RNA is filed under the name Elaeis guineensis (African oil palm). Its description in RNAcentral is "long non-coding RNA (EGUI_LNC057967)". The record is from RNAcentral. Lineage: Eukaryota; Viridiplantae; Streptophyta; Magnoliopsida; Arecales; Arecaceae.